Molecule: ribosomal RNA, 396 nt
Filed under: uncultured bacterium
Lineage: Bacteria
Description: partial 16S ribosomal RNA
Rfam family: Bacterial small subunit ribosomal RNA
Source: RNAcentral
AUACGUAGGGGGCGAGCGUUGUCCGGAAUGAUUGGGCGUAAAGGGCGCGUAGGCGGCGCGGUAAGUCUGGAGUGAAAGUCCUGCUUUCAAGGUGGGAAUUGCUUUGGAUACUGCCGCGCUUGAGUGCAGGAGAGGUUAUCGGAAUUCCCGGUGUAGCGGUGAAAUGCGUAGAGAUCGGAGGAACACCAGUGGCGAAGGCGGGUAACUGGACUGCAACUGACGCUGAGGCGCGAAAGUGUGGGGAGCAAACAGGAUCAGAUACCCUGGUAGUCCACACUGUAAACGAUGAAUGCUAGGUGUAAGAGGUAUCGACCCCUUUUGUGCCGGAGUCAACACAAUAAGCAUUCCGCCUGGGGAGUACGGCCGCAAGGUUGAAACUCAAAUGAAUUGACGGGG